CUGAAAUUACAAAAUACAAAUUAUGCAUAAAUACAUGUAAACAAAAACAUCAUUUGUAUGCUUCAAUACGAACCUUAUGAAAAAAAAUCCAUUGGUAUAACUAAUUAAAUUAAAGUUUCACACAAAUACAACUGAAAAAAAAAGAGAGGGACGAAUGCACGUGCAUAAACGACAAACAAUGAAUGAAAAUGGUAAAAAAGAUUUUAUUUUUCUUAUAAAACAACCCACGGUGCCACUCCUAUUUCCUCUCGCUCUUCUUUCUCCACCAUUUUCAGAUCCAUUUCUAAGCUUCUUCCUUUCCCUUUCCCUUUCUACAUUGUCAAUGGUUAAUUUUGGGGAUUUUGUUUUCGGGGUUUAUCACUUUGUUUACCAGUUUGUUCUCCAUCCCAUUUACCAACACUCUGAUGGUGCAAGGUAUACUUUGUUACUGGAGAACGUUUCUAUACUUUGAGAGAUCAAGUUUGUGGGAAAAGUUUGUAGAGAAACAUGAGAGAAAUCACGAAAAAUCUUAUUUAAUCCCACUUUUGUGGACUAUGAAUGGGGUUUUCCUUAUCUUUAUCAUCCUUCUGGUUUUUGCUGCAACUCUUGCGGGAGAAGCCAAUAUGAGGAAAGUUU
Arabidopsis thaliana (thale cress) is the source of this 615-nucleotide long non-coding RNA. RefSeq annotates it as other RNA. The record is from RefSeq. The transcript is spliced from 2 exons. Lineage: Eukaryota; Viridiplantae; Streptophyta; Magnoliopsida; Brassicales; Brassicaceae.